GGGUUGUGAGGUUAAGCGACUAAGCGUACACGGUGGAUGCCCUGGCAGUCAGAGGCGAUGAAGGACGUGCUAAUCUGCGAUAAGCGCCGGUAAGGUGAUAUGAACCGUUAUAACCGGCGAUUUCCGAAUGGGGAAACCCAGUGUGACUCGUCACACUAUCAUUAACUGAAUCCAUAGGUUAAUGAGGCGAACCGGGGGAACUGAAACAUCUAAGUACCCCGAGGAAAAGAAAUCAACCGAGAUUCCCCCAGUAGCGGCGAGCGAACGGGGAGGAGCCCAGAGCCUGAAUCAGCAUGUGUGUUAGUGGAAGCGUCUGGAAAGGCGCGCGAUACAGGGUGACAGCCCCGUACACAAAAGCGCAUGUGCUGUGAGCUCGAUGAGUAGGGCGGGACACGUGGUAUCCUGUCUGAAUAUGGGGGGACCAUCCUCCAAGGCUAAAUACUCCUGACUGACCGAUAGUGAACCAGUACCGUGAGGGAAAGGCGAAAAGAACCCCGGCGAGGGGAGUGAAAAAGAACCUGAAACCGUGUACGUACAAGCAGUGGGAGCACCCUUUGGGGUGUGACUGCGUACCUUUUGUAUAAUGGGUCAGCGACUUAUAUUCUGUAGCAAGGUUAACCGAAUAGGGGAGCCGGAGGGAAACCGAGUCUUAAUUGGGCGUUAAGUUGCAGGGUAUAGACCCGAAACCCGGUGAUCUAGCCAUGGGCAGGUUGAAG
RNAcentral lists this ribosomal RNA (716 nucleotides) under Salmonella enterica. RNAcentral's name for it is "partial 23S ribosomal RNA". It matches the Rfam family "Bacterial large subunit ribosomal RNA", at positions 1 to 750 of the family's 2925-position model. The record is from RNAcentral. Lineage: Bacteria; Pseudomonadati; Pseudomonadota; Gammaproteobacteria; Enterobacterales; Enterobacteriaceae.